Molecule: ribosomal RNA, 202 nt
Filed under: uncultured bacterium
Lineage: Bacteria
Description: partial 16S ribosomal RNA
Rfam family: Bacterial small subunit ribosomal RNA
Source: RNAcentral
AGGCGUGAAACUCGCCUACAUGAAGCUGGAGUUGCUAGUAAUCGCGAAUCAGCAUGUCGCGGUGAAUACGUUCCCGGGCCUUGUACACACCGCCCGUCACACCAUGAGAGUUGGCAAUACCCAACGUACGUGAUCUAACCCGCAAGGGAGGAAGCGCCCUAAGGUAGGGUCAGCGAUUGGGGUGAAGUCGUAACAAGGUAAC